CAGGGUGUAGCUCAGCUUGGUAGAGCACCUGCUUUGGGAGCAGGAUGUCGCUGGUUCGAAUCCAGUCGCCCUGA
This 74-nucleotide transfer RNA is filed under the name Phycisphaeraceae bacterium. RNAcentral describes it as "tRNA-Pro". It matches the Rfam family "tRNA". Rfam says of the family: Transfer RNA (tRNA) molecules are approximately 80 nucleotides in length. Their secondary structure includes four short double-helical elements and three loops (D, anti-codon, and T loops). Further hydrogen bonds mediate the characteristic L-shaped molecular structure. tRNAs have two regions of fundamental functional importance: the anti-codon, which is responsible for specific mRNA codon recognition, and the 3' end, to which the tRNAs corresponding amino acid is attached (by aminoacyl-tRNA synthetases). tRNAs cope with the degeneracy of the genetic code in two manners: having more than one tRNA (with a specific anti-codon) for a particular amino acid; and 'wobble' base-pairing, i.e. permitting non-standard base-pairing at the 3rd anti-codon position. The record is from RNAcentral. Lineage: Bacteria; Pseudomonadati; Planctomycetota; Phycisphaerae; Phycisphaerales; Phycisphaeraceae.